RNAcentral lists this ribosomal RNA (465 nucleotides) under uncultured bacterium. RNAcentral describes it as "partial 16S ribosomal RNA". It matches the Rfam family "Bacterial small subunit ribosomal RNA", at positions 338 to 795 of the family's 1533-position model. The record is from RNAcentral.
CCUACGGGUGGCUGCAGUGGGGAAUAUUGGACAAUGGGCGAAAGCCUGAUCCAGCCAUGCCGCGUGUGUGAAGAAGGUCUUCGGAUUGUAAAGCACUUUAAGUUGGGAGGAAGGGUUGUAGAUUAAUACUCUGCAAUUUUGACGUUACCGACAGAAUAAGCACCGGCUAACUCCGUGCCAGCAGCCGCGGUAAUACAGAGGGUGCAAGCGUUAAUCGGAAUUACUGGGCGUAAAGCGCGCGUAGGUGGUUUGUUAAGUUGGAUGUGAAAGCCCCGGGCUCAACCUGGGAACUGCAUCCAAAACUGGCGAGCGAGAGUACGGUAGAGGGUGGUGGAAUUGGCUGUGUAGCGGUGAAAUGCGUAGAUAUAGGAAGGAACACCAAUUGCGAAGGCGACCACCUGGACUGAUACUGACACUGAGGUGCGAAAGCGUGGGGAGCAAACAGGAUUAGAUACCCCAGUAGUC